RNAcentral lists this ribosomal RNA (520 nucleotides) under uncultured bacterium. RNAcentral describes it as "bacterial SSU rRNA". It matches the Rfam family "Bacterial small subunit ribosomal RNA", at positions 26 to 518 of the family's 1533-position model. The record is from RNAcentral.
AGGACGAACGCUGGCGGCGUGCCUAAUACAUGCAAGUCGAACGGUCUUUCUAUGGAAGCUUGCUUCCACUGAGAAGAUAGUGGCGAACGGGUGAGUAACACGUGGGUAACCUGCCCAUAAGAGGGGGAUAACAUCCGGAAACGGGUGCUAAUACCGCAUAGUUUUCUUGAUCGCAUGAUUGAGAAAGGAAAGACGGCCUUUGUGCUGUCGCUUAUGGAUGGACCCGCGGCGUAUUAGUUAGUUGGUGAGGUAACGGCUCACCAAGACGAUGAUACGUAGCCGACCUGAGAGGGUGAUCGGCCACAUUGGGACUGAGACACGGCCCAAACUCCUACGGGAGGCAGCAGUAGGGAAUCUUCCGCAAUGGACGAAAGUCUGACGGAGCAACGCCGCGUGAGUGAAGAAGGUUUUCGGGAAUCGUAAAACUCUGUUGUCAGAGAAGAACAAGUUGGAGAGUAACUGCUCCAGCCUUGACGGUAUCUGACCAGAAAGCCACGGCUAACUACGUGCCAGCAGCUGC